RNAcentral lists this non-coding RNA (106 nucleotides) under Nitrospirota bacterium. RNAcentral describes it as "Nitrospirae bacterium TPP sequence". It matches the Rfam family "TPP riboswitch aptamer (THI element)". From Rfam's summary of the family: Vitamin B(1) in its active form thiamin pyrophosphate (TPP) is an essential coenzyme that is synthesised by coupling of pyrimidine and thiazole moieties in bacteria. Lineage: Bacteria; Pseudomonadati; Nitrospirota. The record is from RNAcentral.
AGCAACCCCUGGGGGAGGCUGUAAUGCCUGAGAGUCCCGAUUUAGUGGGAGACCCCACGAACCUGAUACGGAUAAUGCCGACGUAGGGAAGGGAAAUAGACCGUAU